GAUGGACGUGAGUCUCAGUGAACUCUGGGAGUUGGUGAUGCACAGGGAGGCCUGGCAUGCUGCGAUUCAUGGGGUUGCAAAGAGUCGGACGUGACUGAGCGACUGAACUGAACUGAUAAGAAAGCGAGCAUUGAGGGACUUAUCAUUUAGAUUUUCAACCUGCCUUCUGGAACAUCAUCAUUGGUUUAGAUUUAUGCUCAAUGCCAGGUAGAUUUUGGACUCACCUCACUGUAUCCUCGUGAGUUUCUGGUGGCAGUGCAUAGGGAAAAGAGAAUGGGCAUAACCAACAUUUAUUUGUAUGGUGACUUGAUCAGAGGAUAAACAGCUACUUUUAUUCUCAGUGCUUUCGGCAGUGAACAACAGAACUGUGGUCUACAAGGGUUAGAGAAACAGGUUUAUUUCUGUCCCACAGCAGAAUGGUGGUGCUGCCUAGUGAUGCAAGAGAUGCUGUACAGUCUCAAAAUGAUGAGUGCCGUUCCAGAAACACAUCCACAUUCCAGCAGAAACAAGGGAAAGAAAUAUUUUAUUUCUAAUGAGGAAGAGGGGUCCGGACUCACCUGGAGGACUGGGCCACCUGGAGGAGGGAGAAUGAAGAAUCUGUGGAGCUCAGUGUGAAAUAAAAACGCGAGGCCCUUUGUUGAAAACUGGAGAAUUUCAAGCUGGACCACAUGACACCAGAACAUUAAACCAAGUAAGUACAGGGCCCUUCUAGAUAUGGGGGCCUUGUGACCCUGCCAGUGAAGCUAGCUCUGGCUGUUAGCAAAGCAGUGACUUUGGGUGAACAACUAACGUUUUUGUCUCACAUCGAAAUUGUUUUUUGGGAGUAAUUGAUCAAUACACAAUCUUGGCAGCAACAUCAAGGCUUUCUUUCAGGUCAUUGAGUUCUUGGUUAUUGUCCUACUGGCCAGAAGAAGAAAUUAAUACCUGCUUGAUAUAUCAUCCAGCAUUGAAUUGCUUCUAUUUGUAUUCCCCUUUCACUGUCAUAUUGAGGAGAAUCCCUUGUCCAUAAUCUCAGGAACAGUGAACUCAUGUUCUACUCCAUUUCCUAACUUAAUUCUAACUCUAACCCCUCCACCCUUUUGAAGUCUUGCCCCGCUCCUUAGAAUCCAUAUGUGCUAUUGUUUCUCUUUCCCUCCGCCUUGGGAUUUCUAGCUAUCUUUUUGUUUGUGUUUGUUUUGGCUGAGUGGCCUUUCUAGUCAAGGCAAGCAGGCUGUUGCCCCAAGGCGUGUGAGAUCUUAGUUCCUUGACCAGGGAUCAAUCCUGUGUUUCCUGCAUUGGAAGGUAGAUUCUUUUUUUUUUUUUCUUUUUGCUGAGAUGACUUUAUAUCUUUAUUUUAAAAAAAAAAAAAACACUUAAAUUUUACUUCACAUGACACAGAAGAAUUAAUUUGAGAUGGGUUAGGUGGCUCCGAAGGUAAAGAAUCUGCUUGCAAUGCAAGAGAGUUCAAUCCCUGGGUGGGGAAAAUUGGAGAAGGGAAUGGCUACCCACUCCAGUAUUCUUGCCUGGAGAAUUCCAUGGACAGAAGAGCCUGGUGGGCUGUAGUACAUGGGGUCCCAAAGGAGUUGGACAUGACUAAGCAACUAAUACUCUCUUAGAGACCAAACCAUAAGUCAAAACCAUUAAGUUUAUAGAAGAAGCAUAGGAGAAUAUAUUUGUAAACUGAGUGUAGGCAAACAUUUCUUAGGACACAAAAAAUAUAGCCAUAAACUAAAACUUGAUAAAGUAGACUUCAUCAAAAUUAAAACUAUUUACACCUCUAUAACAUGGGUGAAAACAUCAAAGAGAUAUUUCACAAGAUAUAAUCAAAUUGGCUGUUUAGCACAUAAAUAGUUGCUCAAUAGAAGGGGAUAACAGAGGAUGAGAUGGUUGGAUGGCAUCACCAACUUAAUGGACAUGAGCUUGAGCAAAUUCCAGGAGAUGGUGAAGGACAGGGAAGCCUGGUGUGCUGCAGUCCAUGGGGUUGCAAAGAGUAAGACACAACUGAGUGAGUGACAACAACAGUGCUGCUGCUGCUGCUAAGUCGGUUCAGUCGUGUCCGACUCUGUGCGACCCCAUAGACGGCAGCCCACCGGGCCCCACCGUCCCUGGGAUUCUCCAGGCAAGAACCCUGGAGUGGGUUGCCAUUUCCUUCUCCAAUGCAUGAAAGUGAAAAGUGAAAGUGAAGUCACCCAGUCG
Molecule: long non-coding RNA, 2175 nt
Filed under: Bos grunniens (domestic yak)
Lineage: Eukaryota; Metazoa; Chordata; Mammalia; Artiodactyla; Bovidae
Description: lncRNA (ENSBGRG00000009200.1)
Source: RNAcentral